UACGUAGGGGGCAAGCGUUGUCCGGAUUUAUUGGGCGUAAAGAGCGUGUAGGCGGCCGCACAGGUCCGUUGUGAAAACUGGAGGCUUAACCUUCAGACGUCGAUGGAAACCGUGCGGCUAGAGUCCGGAAGAGGAGAAUGGAAUUCCUGGUGUAGCGGUGAAGUGCGCAGAUAUCAGGAAGAACACCCGUGGCUAAGGCGGUUCUCUAGUACGGUACUGAUGCUGAGACGCGAAAGCGUGGGGAGCGAACAGG
This 253-nucleotide ribosomal RNA is filed under the name uncultured bacterium. Its description in RNAcentral is "partial 16S ribosomal RNA". It matches the Rfam family "Bacterial small subunit ribosomal RNA", at positions 524 to 776 of the family's 1533-position model. The record is from RNAcentral.